Molecule: signal recognition particle RNA, 269 nt
Filed under: archaeon
Lineage: Archaea
Description: signal recognition particle sRNA
Rfam family: Archaeal signal recognition particle RNA
Source: RNAcentral
GGGAGAGCUAGGCUGGCGCGCUAGUCCUGCGUUGUUACCGUGAGCGGACUUUACACGGAGCCGAAACCCAAAGAAGGGCCUAUCUUGUUUUAUUGGUCCCUGCUGUCUUUGUUGACGGCUUGUCCUCUGGGAUGGUCAUACUGGGAAUCAGGUCAGACCCUGACGGGAGCAGCCUUAACCUGUAUGUUCCUUGUUCAGAGGGUCGCAAGUUUGAGAAGCUGUAGGGAAUCACCAGUGAGGCUUGGUUAGUUCGACCGCGGGUGUGCCCC